GAUGAAGAACGUAGCGAAAUGCGAUAAGUAAUGUGAAUUGCAGAAUUCAGUGAAUCAUCGAAUCUUGAACGCACAUUGCGCCCAUUAGUAUUCUAGUGGGCAUGCCUGUUCGAGCGUCAUUAAGUCCACUUAAGCCCUGCUUAGUGUUGGGAGACUGCUCCAGCGGUGCUACCCUGUAGCUACCCUGCAGCUCCUCAAAGACAGCGGCGGAGUUGUGGUAUCCUCUGAGCUUAGUAACUUGUUCUAGCUUUCGAGUACACCACUUCCCCUGCCGUAAAAACCUUAAUUUUUAAUGGUUGACCUCGGAUCAGGUAGGAAUACCCGCUGAACUUAAGCAUAUCAAUAAGCGGAGGA
RNAcentral lists this unclassified non-coding RNA (354 nucleotides) under soil metagenome. RNAcentral's name for it is "partial contains 5.8S ribosomal RNA, internal transcribed spacer 2, and large subunit ribosomal RNA". The stretch from base 1 to 119 matches the Rfam family "5.8S ribosomal RNA", at positions 35 to 154 of the family's 154-position model. The record is from RNAcentral.